This 697-nucleotide ribosomal RNA is filed under the name uncultured bacterium. RNAcentral describes it as "bacterial SSU rRNA". It matches the Rfam family "Bacterial small subunit ribosomal RNA", at positions 88 to 771 of the family's 1533-position model. The record is from RNAcentral.
CCAGUGAGUGGCGGACGGGUGAGUAACACGUAGGUAACCUGCCCCGGAGCGGGGGAUAACAUUUGGAAACAGAUGCUAAUACCGCAUAACAACGAAAGCCACAUGGCUUUUGUUUGAAAGAUGGCUUUGGCUAUCACUCUGGGAUGGACCUGCGGUGCAUUAGCUAGUUGGUAAGGUAACGGCUUACCAAGGCGAUGAUGCAUAGCCGAGUUGAGAGACUGAUCGGCCACAAUGGAACUGAGACACGGUCCAUACUCCUACGGGAGGCAGCAGUAGGGAAUCUUCCACAAUGGGCGCAAGCCUGAUGGAGCAACACCGCGUGAGUGAAGAAGGGUUUCGGCUCGUAAAGCUCUGUUGUUGGAGAAGAACAUGCGUGAGAGUAACUGUUCACGCAGUGACGGUAUCCAACCAGAAAGUCACGGCUAACUACGUGCCAGCAGCCGCGGUAAUACGUAGGUGGCAAGCGUUAUCCGGAUUUAUUGGGCGUAAAGCGAGCGCAGGCGGUUGCUUAGGUCUGAUGUGAAAGCCUUCGGCUUAACCGAAGAAGUGCAUCGGAAACCGGGCGACUUGAGUGCAGAAGAGGACAGUGGAACUCCAUGUGUAGCGGUGGAAUGCGUAGAUAUAUGGAAGAACACCAGUGGCGAAGGCGGCUGUCUGGUCCGCAACUGACGCUGAGGCUCGAAAGCAUGGGUAGCGA